Molecule: ribosomal RNA, 492 nt
Filed under: uncultured bacterium
Lineage: Bacteria
Description: partial 16S ribosomal RNA
Rfam family: Bacterial small subunit ribosomal RNA
Source: RNAcentral
CUUUCCCUCUUUCGUCAGGCCUAACACAUGCAAGUCGAACGGCAGCACAGUAAGAGCUCGCGCUUACGGGGGGCGAGGGGCGGACGGUUGAUGAAUACAUCCGAAUCUAUUUUUUCGUGGGGGAGAACGUAGGGAAACUUACGCUAAUACCGCAUACGACCUACGGGGGAAAUCAUGGGAUCUUCGGACCUUGGACGAGUGUAUGAGCCUUUGUCGGAUUAGUUAGUUGGCGGGGUAAAGGCCCACCAAGCCGGAGCUGCGCAGCGGGUCUGAGAGGAGGAGCAGGCACACUGGAACGUAUACACGGUCCAGACGCCUACGGGAGGCAGCAGUGGGGAAUAUUGGACAAUGGGCGAAAGCCUGAUCCAGCCAUGCCGCGUGUGUGAAGAAGGUCUUCGGAGUGUAAAGCACUUUAAGUUGGGAGGAAGGGCAGUAAGUUAAUACCUUGCUGUUUUGACGGUACCAACAGAAUAAGCACCGGCUAACUUCGUG